UUGAACGCUGGCGGCAGGCCUAACACAUGCAAGUCGAACAGUAACAGGAAGAAGCUUGCUUCUUUGCUGACGAGUGGCGGACGGGUGAGUAAUGUCUGGGAAACUGCCUGAUGGAGGGGGAUAACUACUGGAAACGGUAGCUAAUACCGCAUAACGUCGCAAGACCAAAGAGGGGGACCUUCGGGCCUCUUGCCAUCGGAUGUGCCCAGAUGGGAUUAGCUAGUAGGUGGGGUAACGGCUCACCUAGGCGACGAUCCCUAGCUGGUCUGAGAGGAUGACCAGCCACACUGGAACUGAGACACGGUCCAGACUCCUACGGGAGGCAGCAGUGGGGAAUAUUGCACAAUGGGCGCAAGCCUGAUGCAGCCAUGCCGCGUGUAUGAAGAAGGCCUUCGGGUUGUAAAGUACUUUCAGCGGGGAGGAAGGGAGUAAAGUUAAUACCUUUGCUCAUUGACGUUACCCGCAGAAGAAGCACCGGCUAACUCCGUG
Molecule: ribosomal RNA, 489 nt
Filed under: uncultured bacterium
Lineage: Bacteria
Description: partial 16S ribosomal RNA
Rfam family: Bacterial small subunit ribosomal RNA
Source: RNAcentral